GCGGACGUGGCGGAACUGGCAGACGCGCAGGAUUUAGGAUCCUGUCCUAGUGAUAGGGUGAGAGUUCGACCCUCUCCGUCCGCACCA
RNAcentral lists this transfer RNA (87 nucleotides) under Candidatus Kappaea frigidicola. RNAcentral's name for it is "tRNA-Leu". It matches the Rfam family "tRNA". Rfam says of the family: Transfer RNA (tRNA) molecules are approximately 80 nucleotides in length. Their secondary structure includes four short double-helical elements and three loops (D, anti-codon, and T loops). The record is from RNAcentral. Lineage: Bacteria; Pseudomonadati; Candidatus Omnitrophota. RNAcentral also lists the same sequence under 1 other name.